Lotus japonicus is the source of this 1411-nucleotide long non-coding RNA. RefSeq lists it as uncharacterized. The record is from RefSeq and is a predicted model, not a curated record. NCBI's taxonomy places the organism in Eukaryota, Viridiplantae, Streptophyta, Magnoliopsida, Fabales, Fabaceae. The transcript has 3 exons.
UGACGCCUCGCAUUAUCUUCCUCCUCACCUUCGACAGAUCUCUCCGACGGGGGGCGCUGGAUGCUGGCGCCGGACGUGGACGAACGGUGAGGCGGCGCCAGUGGUGGUCGAGAAUCCAGCCCGCAAUGACACAUAAUAUGCUACUCCAAUGACACCAUGCUAUUCUCCCUGUUUCCCUAAGUCAUAGCCUGAUUUCUUGGAUAGCUUGCUGCUUGCUAUACACCUACCGGGAAGAGGGCAGACAAGUACAAUUGGGGUAGCAUACUCUGAAUUGUCUAUUACCUAAUAGAAUGAAUAGCAAUGAAAGGGGUCACCUCAUCAUUCAAUAGGUCCAGCCCAAAUUUUCUCUCCCGUUCCAAAAAAAAAAAGAUGGUGCAUGAACAGUGAAUUCAAUCCUUCCUUUGUAAGGCUGUAGUUUUGGUGUGGUGCUGAUGGAAUGGAACUGGUAACCGGCAAGAGCCGCCCAAUGACUCAACCUUCGGUGAGAGCAAAGAUAUAAUGAAGUGGGUGCUAUAUCACCAUCUCCUGAAGGUGGCAGCCAACAUUGCAGGAGGUCACAGCUGUAUUAUGAGUAUGACCCAGAUUGUGGACCAAAAAUCACUGAUAAGCUGGUCACCGUGAAGAGGCCUAGUUGUAUUUUGUAGUUCUUUUUAUAACUAGUUUACUUGUUGUCUUCUGCUUUUUAUCAGUUGUGGAUAUGGAUGCAACAAGCCGUGUAUCAUUAGUUGAAUUGCAACAGCUGUUUCAGGAAGAAAUGGGUGCCAUGGAAGCAGAUCAUACCACUGAAAAGUGUCUCUAAAGAAAUGGUUUAAGGUGAUAAAACUGAGGUGGAAAGAAGAACAAAGAUUGCAAAGAGCAGAGGUGUAUGAAGCAAUAUCGGUUUCUGGGGUAGCAGUUGCUUUUGCUGUUAUUGCGGCUGAAAAUUCUAAAAAGGAGUCUAAUGAAGACAGAGAUGCAGUCGUAGCCUCUGCAGCUGCCCUGUGUGCAAAAAGCAGCUGAAGCAACGGGGCAAAGAAAGAGCAGCUUGGGAGUGUAAUUGGCUCAGCCAUGAGUGGCACAAGUGCAGACAUCCUAACUCUCACAGCCGCAUCUUUAACCUGUAAAUUGCUCAUUCUCACUCAUCUCUUGAAAUACCUUUUGUUUUAUUUUAGGGGGGAUUACAUAUACAUCAAUCAUGUAAUUUAUUUUACAAGUUGGGUGAUAGCAAAUUAGCAAUAGCUUUGCAUUCAUUUGAAAUGGCAAUGCACACACAUAUCCAAAACCUUCACAAAUCAAUUAAUGAGUUGCUGAGAAGUGACAUGUCUGUUGCAUUACACCUAGCCAAAAUUUCUCAACACUUGUCGUUUUGUAAGGUACCCUUCUAUGUCUUGGGGUUUUGGAACUUGUCCUAACCUGUAACCACUUGGUCCAA